AGAAACAAAAAUCACUCAAAUUUGAUUGUGUUUGUGAAAUUUUGUGUUUUGCUCUUUAUUUCAGACGAUCCUGAAGGCUGCUUUAUUCCUCCAGAGUUUGAGAAAACUGGAAGCACAAUCGAGGGUCACGUGUUCUCUCUGGGCUCCACCCUGUCUGCAGCGCUGGAUUAUGUGACAGAUGUGGAUCUGCAGCUGGAGCUCAGUGAGGAGAGCAGAGCUUUACUGAGGCAGAUGCAGAAAGACACACCUGAGGAGAGACCCACACUACAGGUACACAAACACUGCUCUUUUACUCACCUUUACACUGUAACAACGUCAAAGAGACAUGCGCACACAUUUCAGGAUCAUUUCAGACAUGCAGAAGUGGACAGUAAUGGAGUACUUUUAAAAGGGGCGUUCAACUAGACACUAGUGAGGUGUACCUAAUAAAGUGGCCAGUGAGUAUAUAUACACAUUUUACUUCACUGUUCAAUUCAAUUCCUCUUUCACUGUACAUUGAGAGAUG
This 505-nucleotide long non-coding RNA is filed under the name Danio rerio (zebrafish). RNAcentral's name for it is "lncRNA (ENSDARG00000117471.1)". The record is from RNAcentral. Lineage: Eukaryota; Metazoa; Chordata; Actinopteri; Cypriniformes; Danionidae.